RNAcentral lists this ribosomal RNA (253 nucleotides) under uncultured bacterium. RNAcentral's name for it is "partial 16S ribosomal RNA". It matches the Rfam family "Bacterial small subunit ribosomal RNA", at positions 524 to 776 of the family's 1533-position model. The record is from RNAcentral.
UACAGAGGUCUCAAGCGUUGUUCGGAUUCAUUGGGCGUAAAGGGUGCGUAGGCGGUGAGGUAAGUCGGAUGUGAAAUCCCGGGGCUCAACCCCGGAACUGCAUUCGAUACUGCUUUACUUGAGGACUGGAGAGGAGAUUGGAAUUCACGGUGUAGCAGUGAAAUGCGUAGAUAUCGUGAGGAAGACCAGUGGCGAAGGCGAAUCUCUGGACAGUUACUGACACUGAGGCACGAAGGCCAGGGGAGCAAACGGG